RNAcentral lists this ribosomal RNA (652 nucleotides) under Marinobacter flavimaris. RNAcentral's name for it is "bacterial SSU rRNA". It matches the Rfam family "Bacterial small subunit ribosomal RNA", at positions 89 to 737 of the family's 1533-position model. The record is from RNAcentral. Lineage: Bacteria; Pseudomonadati; Pseudomonadota; Gammaproteobacteria; Pseudomonadales; Marinobacteraceae.
UGACGAGCGGCGGACGGGUGAGUAAUGCAUAGGAAACUGCCCAGUAGUGGGGGAUAGCCCGGGGAAACCCGGAUUAAUACCGCGUACGCCCUUCGGGGGAAAGCAGGGGAUCUUCGGACCUUGCGCUAUUGGAUGUGCCUAUGUCGGAUUAGCUAGUUGGUGGGGUAAAGGCCUACCAAGGCGACGAUCCGUAGCUGGUCUGAGAGGAUGAUCAGCCACAUCGGGACUGAGACACGGCCCGAACUCCUACGGGAGGCAGCAGUGGGGAAUAUUGGACAAUGGGGGCAACCCUGAUCCAGCCAUGCCGCGUGUGUGAAGAAGGCUUUCGGGUUGUAAAGCACUUUCAGUGAGGAGGAAAACUCUGCGACUAAUACUCGUAGGGCUUGACGUUACUCACAGAAGAAGCACCGGCUAACUCCGUGCCAGCAGCCGCGGUAAUACGGAGGGUGCAAGCGUUAAUCGGAAUUACUGGGCGUAAAGCGCGCGUAGGUGGUUUGAUAAGCGAGAUGUGAAAGCCCCGGGCUUAACCUGGGAACGGCAUUUCGAACUGUCAGGCUAGAGUAUGGUAGAGGGUAGUGGAAUUUCCUGUGUAGCGGUGAAAUGCGUAGAUAUAGGAAGGAACACCAGUGGCGAAGGCGGCUACCUGGACCAA